Molecule: ribosomal RNA, 253 nt
Filed under: uncultured bacterium
Lineage: Bacteria
Description: partial 16S ribosomal RNA
Rfam family: Bacterial small subunit ribosomal RNA
Source: RNAcentral
UACGAAGGGGGCUAGCGUUGCUCGGAAUCACUGGGCGUAAAGCGCGCGCAGGCGGCUAUCUACGUCCGGGGUGAAAGCCCAGAGCUCAACUCUGGGACUGCCUUGGAUACGGGAUCGCUUGAGGAUCGGAGAGGCAAGGGGAAUUCCACGUGUAGCGGUGAAAUGCGUAGAGAUCUGGAGGAACACCCGUGGUGCAGACGGCUUGCUGGACCGUGACUGACGCUGAGGCACGAAAGCGUGGGUAGCAAACAGG